This is a non-coding RNA of Quercus lobata, 2423 nucleotides long. The record is from RefSeq and is a predicted model, not a curated record. Lineage: Eukaryota; Viridiplantae; Streptophyta; Magnoliopsida; Fagales; Fagaceae.
UGCUCCGUGGCGGCGUGGCACACAUCGUGGCCACGUGUCUCCCUCUGAUUGUUUGAUGAGUCCUGUUUUCGAUGAAGCCUUUUUAGAUUUCCCGCACUUUUCAAGGUAAAAGUUUUAAUCUUUGCUUUUCCCUUCUCACUUCCUCACUUUCUUUUUUGCAAUUGGUUUUUCUGACUUCUCGGUUGUGCAUUUUGCUCUUAGUCUUCUUAGUUCCUCCCUUAUUUUCAGGUACGCCCUUUUUUUACUCCCUUUCCUUUCUAAGUUUCAUUUGUAUUCCUUUUUCUUGUUCUCCUAUUUUCCUUUUUGGGUUUUGUUAUUUUCUUCAAUGGUGGAUUCUUCUGAAAUUAGGCGCACUUCACCCUCCAUCGCCUUCUUAUUUGCUUGCUUAGGGGCGUUGGUAGAUUCCCGUAGUGAUAUGUUAGGUGCUUUUCCAUCUAGUGAUCCGUAUCCACAUAUUGGGGAUUUUGUGUGGCUGGUAGUGGUCUAGGUUUGGUGUUGAGUGACUUGUACCCACUGUUGCAUAACUCUCUAAUUUGGUUUAAAUCCAUUAGAAAGGCUUUAAGUGGGGAAAAUAUGGGGUCCGAGGUGGGAUCAGACAAUCUAGAGAGGAAUUCGUCCUCUGAUGUAGGCAUGGUUGGAGCAAGGGUAGAUACGACUACUUCUGCGCCUUCUGGUGCGCCUUUGUCCUCUCAUCCUUCUGCUUCUGAUAAACUUCGUUCUUUCCAUGCUCUCAAAGAAAAGUGUUCCUUGAAGAUAGAGGUUUUUAAUAAAUUUAGGGACAGAUUCCAAUUUCCUGAUGAGACUAGGGCUCGUCUUCCUAGGAAGGGUGAGAAGGCUUAUGCCUUUGCUUAUGGAGAGGUAUGUUUCUAUGAGGCUGUGUUUCUGUGUGGUCUCAGAUUUCCCGUCCAUCCAUUCAUCAUGGAGCUUCUUCACUACUUGAACCUUGCUCCGAGGCAGCUUAUGCCAAAUUCGUGGAGAAUCGUCAUAAGCUGCAUGGUGAUUUGGAUGAUCAUAGCUAACAGGGAUAUGAUCACGCUUAGCGAGUUCGUCCAUCUCUACCGUUUGAAAGAAUCCAAGGAGCUUGGGUAUUACGAGUUUGUACCCUGGAAUAAGAAGUCUCGUCCUGUCGUUGAUCUUCCAUCGUCCUUCUGUAACUGGAAGUCUAGGUUUUUCUUCGUGUCUAGCGAUGGUUGGGAGACUCUUUCUGAUGACUUUUGGGGGGAUGUCCCUAGGUUGCUGCGCCGGUGGGAGACCCCUCAGCUUGAGCGUCCAGAGCUUGAAGAGAAGUUCAAAGAGAGGGUUCAAGAGGCCAUCAAGUACGUGAGUACUAUUGAUGAUUUUGACGAGCUGGUUGAUCCACGCACUUUAGCUCAUCAUUGUUUGGGGUCGGAGCCAUCAGAUUACGUCCUUCGUGCAAUUGACCAGGAAUAGAAAAAACAGAUGACGACAAAAUUUAACAAGGAGAUGUAUGCUAAGAUUAAGGGGAAGAAGAACGAACCCCUUUCUGCCAUCGGACAAAAAAAGUUGAGAAUUAUAGACAAGGAAAAGGAAAAAGAGACAAUGGAGAGAGACUCGUCCACUCCUACCCCAGAUCUGGACGAAGGUCAGGCAGCUUCUCUCGGUAUUUCAAUCGAAGAAGUUGUCCGUCCUUCAAAAAAGUGAAAGACGAGAGACAAAGGGAAACAAAAGGUAGGCUUUAGUGUUUGGGAGGACGCUGGAGUAGCUAUGGACCGUGCAAACGAGCUCCUUACUCCUGGGGAGAUGAAAGAGAUUUCAAGUGUGCCUUCCCAUAAGAUGGUGAGCCGUCACGUUCACAAGCUCGUGCAGGUAUUGGGGGAAAUUAUGCACAUCACCACCCAGUAUCUGGCAAAUGAGGAAAAGGUCGUCGUGGCCAAUUCAAAGGUGGAGGCGCUAAAGGCCAAGGCUUCAGGACUACGGAAAGACUUGAUUAAUGCUAUGGACACCAACAACGUUUCUAUAGAGCAACUCAAGGUUUUGACUAAGCAGCUGGAUUCCGAGAAACAGCUGGUGAAGCAGAAGGACGAGGUUCUUACCUCAGCUGGUCAAAGGAUGAAGGUUGUCGUUGCUAAGGCCGUCCUUGCCUUUCAAUCUACUGAUGAGUAUAAUACCAUUCUAUUUCAAUGGUAUUUUAAAGGCUUCAAACUACUGAGGAGGUACCUGAUUAAACAUGGCCCAGGGACUAAUUUGGAGGAUUUAGACUUUGAGGCUGUUGAUAAGGAAAUUGAAGAGGACAAAGCGGCCCUGGCAGCUCAAGCUGCAAUGUCUAUUGGUGCGGACCCUUCUCAGGCUGAUAAGGAUGAAGACAAUGCUCCACUAACUUGAACCCGUUGUCUCUUGAAGAAGAAAUUUCUUUUUCUUUUUUUUUUCUUUUUUUUUUUUCUUUUGGAAAAUGCCUUGUAUGU